Molecule: ribosomal RNA, 443 nt
Filed under: uncultured bacterium
Lineage: Bacteria
Description: partial 16S ribosomal RNA
Rfam family: Bacterial small subunit ribosomal RNA
Source: RNAcentral
CCUACGGGUGGCAGCAGUGGGGAAUAUUGGGCAAUGGAGGCAACUCUGACCCAGCAAUGCCGCGUGAAUGAUGAAGGUUUUCGGAUUGUAAAGUUCUGUUAUAGGGGACGAAAAAAAUGACGGUACUUUAUGAGUAAGCCCCGGCUAACUAUGUGCCAGCAGCCGCGGUGAUACGUAGGGGGCAAGCGUUGUCCGGAUUGACUGGGUGUAAAGGUUGUGUAGGUGGGUGGUUAAGUUAGAGGUGAAAUCCCGAAGCUCAACUUCGGAACUGCCUUUAAAACUGGUUGGCUUGAGUGUAGUUGAGGUAAGUGGAAUUCCUAGUGUAGCGGUGGAAUGCGUAGAUAUUAGGAAGAACAUCAGUGGCGAAGGCGACUAACUGGACCAUUACUGACGCUGAAGCACGAAAGCGUGGGGAGCAAACAGGAUUAGAUACCCGAGUAGUC